Molecule: long non-coding RNA, 699 nt
Filed under: Homo sapiens (human)
Lineage: Eukaryota; Metazoa; Chordata; Mammalia; Primates; Hominidae
Description: HSALNT0077962
Source: RNAcentral
CAGACACGUCACGCGGCAGCCGGGCGGGGCGGGACAGAACUCUCGCCCGAGCGGCCGGGGUGAGUGUGAGUGUGAGAGCGAGAACAGCCCCGCAGGUCCCGAGGCGCUGGCUGGGGACAAUGCCGCGGAAAGUUCCCAGUCCCCAGCCGCAGAUCUGCAGAAUUGAAAUGAAAUGUUUUGAGCUCUUCAAGCUGACUCGUCAGAAUCCUGGAGCCUUUUAAAAAAUGACGAAUUGGAAGGAAAAAUUACUUUAUCAAUAACCAGGCUCCACCAGGAUUGACCUAGAUGGUUGUUCCUGGCACUUGUCAUUCUCAGCAAGCACAGCUCAGAGAACAAAUACAAAAGACCCAAAGUGCAUUGCAUCUUUUAUGGAAGUGCCCAAUGUGGAAAUCAUAGAUUUCAAGGAAGGAACAAGAAAAUUGAUGAAACAAGUUCAAAAGAAAGGUCAUGAUGUCAUACUAAGAAGAAACCACCUGAGAUGAGACUGUUAGAUGUUCAGAGCAAACAAAAACAAAAACAGACCAACAAAAAAAACCCAAAACAAAACAGAAGUUUCUGAAGGACAGCAGAAAUGGUCAUCUGUCUCUUUUUAAGAGAAAAAUAAUAUCCAAAGAAGUUCCACCACUCAGAAGACUUUUACAUUCCAUGUCUCAUUUGCCAGAAUUUCUUCUUACAAGCUGUAAACCAAUCAUGGUUAGG